RNAcentral lists this small RNA (239 nucleotides) under Hucho hucho (huchen). RNAcentral describes it as "Metazoan signal recognition particle RNA (ENSHHUG00000041478.1)". The stretch from base 39 to 238 matches the Rfam family "Metazoan signal recognition particle RNA", at positions 64 to 280 of the family's 299-position model. From Rfam's summary of the family: The signal recognition particle (SRP) is a universally conserved ribonucleoprotein. It is involved in the co-translational targeting of proteins to membranes. The eukaryotic SRP consists of a 300-nucleotide 7S RNA and six proteins: SRPs 72, 68, 54, 19, 14, and 9. The record is from RNAcentral. Lineage: Eukaryota; Metazoa; Chordata; Actinopteri; Salmoniformes; Salmonidae.
ACUUCUCCAUUUAUCACCUUAACCUGCAGCAGAGUUUCUUGCCAGGCUCAGUUGUGCUGCCUGUAGCACGCUAUGAUAAACAGGUGUCCACACCAAGUUCGGUAUCGGUAUGACCACCAGGUUAGUCUAAGGAGGGGUGAACUGACCCAGGUUGGAAACAAAGCAGGUCAAAGCCCCUGAGCUGUCCGGUAGUGGUUUAGUGCAGGUGAGUAAACGCUGCAGUGCAGCCUUGGCAAGAC